AUUGAACGCUGGCGGCAUGCCUUACACAUGCAAGUCGAACGGCAGCACGGGGGGCAACCCUGGUGGCGAGUGGCGAACGGGUGAGUAAUACAUCGGAACGUAUCCUGUAGCGGGGGAUAACCUCUCGAAAGAGAGGCUAAUACCGCAUACGACCUACGGGUGAAAGAGGGGGAUCGCAAGACCUCUCACUAUUGGAGCGGCCGAUGUCGGAUUAGCUAGUUGGUGGGGUAAAAGCCACCAAGGCUACGAUCCGUAGCUGGUCUGAGAGGACGACCAGCCACACUGGAACUGAGACACGGGUCCAGACUCCUA
This 312-nucleotide ribosomal RNA is filed under the name uncultured bacterium. RNAcentral's name for it is "bacterial SSU rRNA". It matches the Rfam family "Bacterial small subunit ribosomal RNA", at positions 30 to 341 of the family's 1533-position model. The record is from RNAcentral.